AGAUUUUCUGUUGUGCUUGAUCUAACCAUGUGCUUGCGAGGUAUGAGAAAAACAUGGUUCCGUCAAGCACCAUGGAACGUCA
Molecule: non-coding RNA, 82 nt
Organism: Mus musculus (house mouse)
Lineage: Eukaryota; Metazoa; Chordata; Mammalia; Rodentia; Muridae
Source: Rfam